GGAUUAGAUACCCUGGUAGUCCACGCCGUAAACGAUGAGUACUAGUUAUUGGGGGUAUUGACUCCUUCAGUGACGCAGCUAACGCAUUAAGUACUCCGCCUGGGAAGUACGGUCGCAAGACUAAAACUCAAAGGAAUUGACGGGGGCCCGCACAAGCGGUGGAUUAUGUGGUUUAAUUCGAAGCAACGCGCAGAACCUUACCUAGGCUUGAAAUCCUCAGAAUUCCGAGUAAUGUUGGAAGUGCCCGCAAGGGAAUUGAGUGACAGGUGCUGCAUGGCUGUCGUCAGCUCGUGCUG
RNAcentral lists this ribosomal RNA (296 nucleotides) under uncultured bacterium. Its description in RNAcentral is "partial 16S ribosomal RNA". It matches the Rfam family "Bacterial small subunit ribosomal RNA", at positions 775 to 1067 of the family's 1533-position model. The record is from RNAcentral.